GAUGAAGAACGUAGCGAAAUGCGAUAAGUAAUGCGAAUUGCAGAAUUCAGUGAAUCAUCGAAUCUUUGAACGCACAUUGCGCCCGCCAGUAUUCUGGCGGGCAUGCCUGUCUGAGCGUCGUUUCGACCCUCGCGCCCGGCUUCUGUCGGGGGCGGUGUUGGGGAUCGGCCACACCCUUCAGUGGGAGGCCGGCCCCUAAAUUCAGUGGCGACCACGCUGUAGCCUCCCCUGCGUAGUACUAAAACCACCUCGCAGGCGGAGAGCGGUGCGGCCCGCUGUAAAACCCCCCAACUUUUACAAGGUCGACCUCAGAUCAGGUAGGAAUACCCGCUGAACUUAAGCAUAUCAAUAAGCGGAGGA
This 360-nucleotide unclassified non-coding RNA is filed under the name soil metagenome. Its description in RNAcentral is "partial contains 5.8S ribosomal RNA, internal transcribed spacer 2, and large subunit ribosomal RNA". The stretch from base 1 to 120 matches the Rfam family "5.8S ribosomal RNA", at positions 35 to 154 of the family's 154-position model. The record is from RNAcentral.